AGCUGCACCGGGUCCACCGCACGGGAGGUGAGCAGGUAGUCCCGCAUCACGAUGCCGUGCCGGCCCUC
Streptomycetaceae bacterium MP113-05 is the source of this 68-nucleotide small RNA. It matches the Rfam family "ASdes TB sRNA". The record is from Rfam. NCBI's taxonomy places the organism in Bacteria, Bacillati, Actinomycetota, Actinomycetes, Kitasatosporales, Streptomycetaceae.